AGCCACAGACAUAUCACCCUGCUGUCCAAGACUCUUUACUUACUGAAGCUAAGUAGGGCUUAACCUAGUCAAUACCUGGAUGGGUGACCACAUUGAAAAACUAUAUAUUGCUGUUG
This 116-nucleotide ribosomal RNA is filed under the name Danio rerio (zebrafish). Lineage: Eukaryota; Metazoa; Chordata; Actinopteri; Cypriniformes; Danionidae. The record is from RNAcentral.